Molecule: ribosomal RNA, 871 nt
Filed under: Aplanochytrium stocchinoi
Lineage: Eukaryota; Bigyra; Thraustochytrida; Thraustochytriidae
Description: partial Bacterial large subunit ribosomal RNA
Rfam family: Bacterial large subunit ribosomal RNA
Source: RNAcentral
CCAUAUUGGGUGAUAGCCCCGUACACGAAAAUCUCUUAUCAAUGAAAUCGAGUAGGACGGAGCACGAGAAACUUUGUCUGAAUAUGGGGGGACCAUCCUCCAAGGCUAAAUACUCGUAAUCGACCGAUAGUGAACCAGUACCGUGAGGGAAAGGCGAAAAGAACCCCGGGAGGGGAGUGAAAUAGAUCCUGAAACCGCAUGCAUACAAGCAGUGGGAGCCGACUUGUUCGGUGACUGCGUACCUUUUGUAUAAUGGGUCAGCGACUUACAUUCAGUAGCAAGGUUAACCGCAUAGGGGAGCCGUAGAGAAAUCGAGUCUUAAUAGGGCGUUUAGUUGCUGGGUGUAGACCCGAAACCGGGUGAUCUAUCCAUGAGCAGGUUGAAGGUUGGGUAACACUAACUGGAGGACCGAACCCACUGUCGUUGAAAAGCCAGGGGAUGACUUGUGGAUAGGGGUGAAAGGCUAAUCAAACUCGGUGAUAGCUGGUUCUCCCCGAAAGCUAUUUAGGUAGCGCCUCGGACGAAUACCAUUGGGGGUAGAGCACUGUUUCGGCUAGGGGGUCAUCCCGACUUACCAAACCGAUGCAAACUCCGAAUACCUACAAGUGCCGAGCAUGGGAGACACACGGCGGGUGCUAACGUCCGUCGUGGAGAGGGAAACAACCCUGACUUACAGCUAAGGCCCCUAAUUCGUGGCUAAGUGGGAAAGGAUGUGGAAAUCCCAAAACAACCAGGAGGUUGGCUUAGAAGCAGCCAUCCUUUAAAGAAAGCGUAACAGCUCACUGGUCUAAAUAAGGGUUUCUGCGCCGAAGAUGUAACGGGGCUCAAGCCACGAGCCGAAGCUUAGGGUGUGCGCAAGCACGCGGUAGCG